ACGGAAGGCAGCAGUGAGGAAUAUUGGUCAAUGGGGGAAACCCUGAACCAGCGACGCCGCGUGAGUGAAGAAGUAUUUCGGUAUGUAAAGCUCUAUCAGCAGGGACGAUAAUGACGGUACCUGACUAAGAAGCCCCGGCUAACUACGUGCCAGCAGCCGCGGUAAUACGUAGGGGGCAAGCGUUAUCCGGAUUUACUGGGUGUAAAGGGAGCGUAGGUGGCCAUGCAAGUCAGAUGUGAAAUCCCGGGGCUCAACCCUGGAGCUGCAUUUGAAACUGCGGAGCUAGAGUGCAGGAGAGGUAAGCGGAAUUCCUAGUGUAGCGGUGAAAUGCGUAGAUAUUAGGAGGAACACCAGUGGCGAAAGCGGCUUGCUGGACUGCAACUGACACUGAGGCUCGAAAGUGCGGGGAUCGAACAGGAUUAGAUACCCUGGUA
RNAcentral lists this ribosomal RNA (434 nucleotides) under uncultured Lachnospiraceae bacterium. RNAcentral describes it as "partial 16S ribosomal RNA". It matches the Rfam family "Bacterial small subunit ribosomal RNA", at positions 341 to 792 of the family's 1533-position model. The record is from RNAcentral. Lineage: Bacteria; Bacillati; Bacillota; Clostridia; Lachnospirales; Lachnospiraceae.